CCGGCGUGCUUAACACAUGCAAGUCGAACGGAAACAGAUAGAGCUUGCUCUAUGCUGUCGAGUGGCGCACGGGUGAGUAAUGUAUAGCUAACGUGCCCCUUAGAGAGGGAUAACGUCUGGAAACGGACGCUAAUACCUCAUACUCCUUUUAAUCAAAAGAUUAAUUGGGAAAUGUUUUUUCGCUAAGGGAUCGGGCUAUAUGGUAUCAGAGAGUCGGUGAGGUAAGAGCUCACCAAGCCAAUGACGCCUAGCUGGUCUGAGAGGAUGAUCAGCCACACUGGAACUGAGACACGGUCCAGACUCCUACGGGAGGCAGCUGUGGGGAAUAUUGCACAAUGGGGGAAACCCUGAUGCAGCAACGCCGCGUGGAGGAUGACGCAUUUCGGUGCGUAAACUCCUUUUAUAUGGGAAGAUAAUGACGGUACCAUAUGAAUAAGCACCGGCUAACUCCGUGCCAGCAGCCGCGGUAAUACGGAGGGUACAAGCGUUACUCGGAAUCACUGGGCGUAAAGCGCGCGCAGGCGGUUAGUAAAGUCAGAUGUGAAAGCCUACAGCUUAACUGUAGAACUGCAUCUGAAACUCACUAACUAGAGUUUGGGAGAGGUAAGUGGAAUUAGUGGUGUAGGGGUAAAAUCCGCAGAGAUCACUAGGAAUACCAAAAGCGAAGGCAACUUACUGGAACAACACUGACGCUGAGGCGCGAAAGCGUGGGGAGCAAACAGGAUUAGAUACCCUGUAGUCCACGCCCUAAACGAUGAAUGUUAGUCGUCGGAGGCCUAGUGUCUUCGGUGAUGCAGCUAACGCAUUAAACAUUCCGCCUGGGGAGUACGGUCGCAAGAUUAAAACUCAAAGGAACAGACGGGGACCCGCACAAGUGGUGGAGCAUGUGGUUUAAUUCGAAGAUACGCGAAGAACCUUACCUGGCCUUGACAUCCCAAGAACCCUGUAGAGAUACGGGGGUGCCCUUCGGGGAACUUGGUGACAGGUGCUGCACGGCUGUCGUCAGCUCGUGUCGUGAGAUGUUGGGUUAAGUCCCGCAACGAGCGCAACCCUCGUGUUUAGUUGCUAACAGUUCGGCUGAGCACUCUAGACAGACUGCCUCCGCAAGGAGGAGGAAGGUGAGGACGACGUCAAGUCAUCAUGGUCCUUACGGCCAGGGCGACACACGUGCUACAAUGGGUAGGACAAUGAGACGCAAUACCGCGAGGUGGAGCAAAUCUAUAAACCUACUCUCAGUUCGGAUUGUAGUCUGCAACUCGACUACAUGAAGCUGGAAUCACUAGUAAUCGUAGAUCAGCCAUGCUACGGUGAAUACGUUCCCGGGUCUUGUACUCACCGCCCGUCACACCAUGGGAGUUGAGUUCACCCGAAGCGGGGAAGCUAAACUGGCUACCUGNCCAUCGGUGGGCUCAGCGAA
Molecule: ribosomal RNA, 1417 nt
Filed under: uncultured bacterium
Lineage: Bacteria
Description: bacterial SSU rRNA
Rfam family: Bacterial small subunit ribosomal RNA
Source: RNAcentral